CUUUACAACUCUGUGUUAAUUGAGAAGCUCAACAUUUUUUUUAGUGACUGUGGUAGUGAUUGAAAUUUGGAAAUAUGUACAGUUCCUCUGAAAAUGUCAUGGAUUCCGGGGAAAUGUCUGGAGCGAUUCUUUAAAGUUUCUGUGAAGCAGAAGCCUGCACCCUACUCAGAGCAACAGGAGGUGAUGCCAGUGGCAAGUGGAAGGAGGCAAGACCAUCACCUUCUACACCUUCUAUCUGCAGACAAAAGGCAAUGUUAAUUAGUAACUGAAGAAGAGAUCAGAGGAUGAACACUUUAUUAUGAUUUAUAAACUCAGUUUUGUCACAAUGUGUAUUAAGUCUAUCAAUUUUGAAACUGUAACUAUAAUUAAGCAGUGUAUUAAUGAUGAUAAACUAUUGCAGGACUAACAGUAAAAUUUGCUGGGAGAUAACAGAAUCAUAGAAUAACAGAGCAGACUAUCUAAUCCAUUGUUGAGUUGGGUCACCUAGAAGGGGUUACUCAGAACAAUAUUUCUUCUGUUAGAAGUAUCACCAGUAUUACUAGUCUAAUAGAUAUCCCAAACACAUCACUUAUCUGCAUGCAGCAUUCCUCAAAAUAGAAAAUAUGAAAAUGAGAGUAUAGGAAUGUAUAGAAAAUUGUGUCUUUAGUACACAUAUAUUCUCUUAUAGAUAACUUUCCUAUAGUUAGAAUUUUUCAAAUGAGAAGAUUAGAUGAGAACUGAUCAGCUUUAAAAGAACACAAACAAAAUACCAGAUGAUGAACAGGUGGAAUCAGGAAAUAAUUUAUGCUUAAACCAAAUUAAGCACUGUGCUUUUUACUUAUUUUCCAG
This 828-nucleotide long non-coding RNA is filed under the name Phasianus colchicus (ring-necked pheasant). Its description in RNAcentral is "lncRNA (ENSPCLG00000016997.1)". Lineage: Eukaryota; Metazoa; Chordata; Aves; Galliformes; Phasianidae. The record is from RNAcentral.